This is a non-coding RNA of Drosophila suzukii, 300 nucleotides long. NCBI's taxonomy places the organism in Eukaryota, Metazoa, Arthropoda, Insecta, Diptera, Drosophilidae. The record is from RefSeq and is a predicted model, not a curated record.
CAGCAGAGUUACUUUAAUCGUUUAGUUAAUAUAAUAAAGUCAGGUAUUCCAUGGGUUCCGUUAUCCGAAAGUAGAUGACGAAAUGUUUUGUGCCAAUAAAAAUCCUGCAAAGGGUUAAACACAGCUAUAAAAGGAGCGUUGGCCAAGGAUUCAGAGGAUCCGGACAAAGGUUUAAGAACGGCGAUGUCUAACGUUAAAAAUAAGGUUACGAAGCAAAAGAACAGAAACAAUAAUUGUACAAUUUUUGAAAAUCUAAAUAGUACCAUAUAAUUAAAAUGAAUUAAAAUGAAAUGAAUUAAA